AAUACUAUACUUUCAGGGAUCAUUUCUAUAGUAUCCAACUAGAGACAUGCACUCGAAAGUGAUCGGCUGAACUUGCUUCCAGAAAUUGUGGGUGCUCCAACCUUGAAGGUUUUUAAGAAGAGAUUGGACAACCUUGUUUGUCUGAAAUGGUUAGGGUUUCCUACCUGAGCAGG
This is a small nucleolar RNA of Laticauda laticaudata (blue-ringed sea krait), 173 nucleotides long. Its record names the gene U3. It matches the Rfam family "Small nucleolar RNA U3". Rfam says of the family: Small nucleolar RNAs (snoRNAs) are involved in the processing and modification of rRNA in the nucleolus. There are two main classes of snoRNAs: the box C/D class, and the box H/ACA class. Lineage: Eukaryota; Metazoa; Chordata; Lepidosauria; Squamata; Elapidae. The record is from Ensembl.